UUGGAGGGCAAGUCUGGUGCCAGCAGCCGCGGUAAUUCCAGCUCCAAUAGCGUAUAUUAAAGUUGUUGCAGUUAAAAAGCUCGUAGUUGAAUUUCGGGGUCAGUAAGUUGGUCGUGCCUAUGGUAUGCACUGGCUUUACUGAUUCCUCCUUCUUGAAGAACUGUAAUGCCAUUAGUUUGGUGUUGCAGGGAAUCAGGACUGUUACUUUGAAAAAAUUAGAGUGUUUAAAGCAGGCUUACGCUUGAAUACAUUAGCAUGGAAUAAUGAAAUAGGACGUUGAUUCUAUUUUGUUGGUUUCUAGGGUUGACGUAAUGAUUAAUAGGGAUAGUUGGGGGCAUUAGUAUUCAAUUGUCAGAGGUGAAAUUCUUGGAUUUAUUGAAGACUAACUACUGCGAAAGCAUUUGCCAAGGAUGUUUUCAUUAAUCAAGAACGAAAGUUAGGGGAUCGAAGACGAUCAGAUACCGUCGUAGUCUUAACCAUAAACUAUGCCGACUAGGGAUCGGAUGAUGUUAAUUUUUUAAUGACUCAUUCGGCGCCUUACGGGAAAC
This 548-nucleotide ribosomal RNA is filed under the name uncultured Glomus. RNAcentral's name for it is "SSU rRNA". It matches the Rfam family "Eukaryotic small subunit ribosomal RNA", at positions 548 to 1098 of the family's 1831-position model. The record is from RNAcentral. Lineage: Eukaryota; Fungi; Glomeromycota; Glomeromycetes; Glomerales; Glomeraceae.